Molecule: transfer RNA, 73 nt
Filed under: Candidatus Aenigmatarchaeota archaeon
Lineage: Archaea; Nanobdellati; Candidatus Aenigmatarchaeota
Description: tRNA-Thr
Rfam family: tRNA
About the family: Transfer RNA (tRNA) molecules are approximately 80 nucleotides in length. Their secondary structure includes four short double-helical elements and three loops (D, anti-codon, and T loops).
Source: RNAcentral
GCCUCCGUAGCAUAGUAGCCAUUGCGGCGGUUUUGUAAACCGCAGGUCGAGGGUGCAACUCCCUCCGGGGGCU